GAUGAACGCUGGCGGCGUGCUUAACACAUGCAAGUCGAACGGAAAGGCCCAAGCUUGCUUGGGUACUCGAGUGGCGAACGGGUGAGUAACACGUGGGUGAUCUGCCCUGCACUUCGGGAUAAGCCUGGGAAACUGGGUCUAAUACCGGAUAGGACCACAUUUUGGAUGGUGUGGUGGAAAGUUUUUCGGUGUGGGAUGAGCUCGCGGCCUAUCAGCUUGUUGGUGGGGUAAUGGCCUACCAAGGCGUCGACGGGUAGCCGGCCUGAGAGGAUGUACGGCCACAUUGGGACUGAGAUACGGCCCAGACUCCUACGGGAGGCAGCAGUGGGGAAUAUUGCACAAUGGGCGCAAGCCUGAUGCAGCGACGCCGCGUGGGGGAUGACGGCCUUCGGGUUGUAAACUCCUUUCGCUAGGGACGAAGCGUUAUGUGACGGUACCUGGAGAAGAAGCACCGGCUAACUACGUG
Molecule: ribosomal RNA, 466 nt
Filed under: uncultured bacterium
Lineage: Bacteria
Description: partial 16S ribosomal RNA
Rfam family: Bacterial small subunit ribosomal RNA
Source: RNAcentral